This 177-nucleotide small nuclear RNA is filed under the name Cryptosporidium parvum. Lineage: Eukaryota; Apicomplexa; Conoidasida; Eucoccidiorida; Cryptosporidiidae. The record is from RNAcentral.
UCGCUGUUUCAAUUUUACUGCUUUUUUUAAUAUUAAAUACUAGCUUGAUGAUUGAGUUAUCAUUCAAUUGUUGAUGCAUUGAAACACAUACUGAAUUUAGGUUUAUCCAAUCAUUGACUGAUGACUAAUAGUUAUUGAGAAUAUACUAUUGGACAGAUACCAAUGAUACAACGCUUG